GACGAACGCUGGCGGCGUGCUUAACACAUGCAAGUCGAACGGAAAGGCCCUGCUUUUGUGGGGUGCUCGAGUGGCGAACGGGUGAGUAACACGUGAGUAACCUGCCCUUGACUUUGGGAUAACUUCAGGAAACUGGGGCUAAUACCGGAUAGGAGCUCCUGCUGCAUGGUGGGGGUUGGAAAGUUUCGGCGGUUGGGGAUGGACUCGCGGCUUAUCAGCUUGUUGGUGGGGUAGUGGCUUACCAAGGCUUUGACGGGUAGCCGGCCUGAGAGGGUGACCGGCCACAUUGGGACUGAGAUACGGCCCGGACUCCUACGGGAGGCAGCAGUGGGGAAUAUUGAACAAUGGGCGGAAGCCUAAUGCAGCAACGCCGCGUGCGGGAUGACGGCCUUCGGGUUGUAACCCGCUUUCGCCUGUGACGAAGCGUGAGUGACGGUAAUGGGUAAAGAAGCACCGGCUAACUACGUG
This 468-nucleotide ribosomal RNA is filed under the name uncultured bacterium. Its description in RNAcentral is "partial 16S ribosomal RNA". It matches the Rfam family "Bacterial small subunit ribosomal RNA", at positions 28 to 507 of the family's 1533-position model. The record is from RNAcentral.